Molecule: ribosomal RNA, 460 nt
Filed under: uncultured bacterium
Lineage: Bacteria
Description: partial 16S ribosomal RNA
Rfam family: Bacterial small subunit ribosomal RNA
Source: RNAcentral
CCUACGGGAAGCAGCAGUGAGGAAUAUUGGUCAAUGGACGAGAGUCUGAACCAGCCAAGUAGCGUGAAGGAUGACUGCCCUAUGGGUUGUAAACUUCUUUUAUAUGGGAAUAAAAUGUUCCACGUGUGGGAUUUUGUAUGUACCAUAUGAAUAAGGAUCGGCUAACUCCGUGCCAGCAGCCGCGGUAAUACGGAGGAUCCGAGCGUUAUCCGGAUUUAUUGGGUUUAAAGGGAGCGUAGGUGGAUUGUUAAGUCAGUUGUGAAAGUUUGCGGCUCAACCGUAAAAUUGCAGUUGAAACUGGCAGUCUUGAGUACAGUAGAGGUGGGCGGAAUGCGUGGUGUAGCGGUGAAAUGCUUAGAUAUCACGAAGAACUCCGAUUGCGAAGGCAGUUCACUGGACUGCAACUGACACUGAGGCUCGAAAGUGUGGGUAUCAAACAGGAUUAGAUACCCCGGUAGUC